UUAAAUAUGGAACACUUCACGAAUUUGUGUCAUCCUUUUGCAGGGUCCAUGCUAAUCUUCUCUGUAUCGUUCCAAUUUUAGUGUAUGUGCUGCCGAAGCGAGCAC
Molecule: small nuclear RNA, 105 nt
Filed under: Cricetulus griseus (Chinese hamster)
Lineage: Eukaryota; Metazoa; Chordata; Mammalia; Rodentia; Cricetidae
Source: RNAcentral